GGAUCAGAGAUUGGUUUAUUCUCUCUGAUGGGUCCACCACUGCUUCCUUCACCUUUCGGGCUGGUGUUUAUUGACACAACAUUUAUGGGGCCUUUGUUUAUUGAGAGUGCUUUUGUCAGAUCGUUUAUGUAUGAUACUAACAAAUGUACUCCAUUUUCAUGGGCUUGUGAAGCCUCUUUUAUAUAGUUUAUGAUAUCAAUUAUGUCUGAUGCUUCUGUUGCCAGUCUAUG
Molecule: long non-coding RNA, 230 nt
Filed under: Citrus sinensis (sweet orange)
Lineage: Eukaryota; Viridiplantae; Streptophyta; Magnoliopsida; Sapindales; Rutaceae
Description: long non-coding RNA (CSIN_LNC001188)
Source: RNAcentral